GGUUAAGCGACUAAGCGUACACGGUGGAUGCCCUGGCAGUCAGAGGCGAUGAAGGACGUGCUAAUCUGCGAUAAGCGUCGGUGAGGUGAUAUGAACCGUUAUAACCGGCGAUUUCCGAAUGGGGAAACCCAGUGUGAUUCGUCACACUAUCAUUAACUGAAUCCAUAGGUUAAUGAGGCGAACCGGGGGAACUGAAACAUCUAAGUACCCCGAGGAAAAGAAAUCAACCGAGAUUCCCCCAGUAGCGGCGAGCGAACGGGGAGGAGCCCAGAGCCUGAAUCAGUGUGUGUGUUAGUGGAAGCGUCUGGAAAGGCGCGCGAUACAGGGUGACAGCCCCGUACACAAAAAUGCACAUAUUGUGAGCUCGAUGAGUAGGGCGGGACACGUGGUAUCCUGUCUGAAUAUGGGGGGACCAUCCUCCAAGGCUAAAUACUCCUGACUGACCGAUAGUGAACCAGUACCGUGAGGGAAAGGCGAAAAGAACCCCGGCGAGGGGAGUGAAAAAGAACCUGAAACCGUGUACGUACAAGCAGUGGGAGCCUCUUAAUGGGGUGACUGCGUACCUUUUGUAUAAUGGGUCAGCGACUUAUAUUCUGUAGCAAGGUUAACCGAAUAGGGGAGCCGAAGGGAAACCGAGUCUUAACUGGGCGUUAAGUUGCAGGGUAUAGACCCGAAACCCGGUGAUCUAGCCAUGGGCAGGUUGAAGGUUGGGUAACACUAACUGGAGGACCGAACCGACUAAUGUUGAAAAAUUAGCGGAUGACUUGUGGCUGGGGGUGAAAGGCCAAUCAAACCGGGAGAUAGCUGGUUCUCCCCGAAAGCUAUUUAGGUAGCGCCUCGUGAAUUCAUCUCCGGGGGUAGAGCACUGUUUCGGCAAGGGGGUCAUCCCGACUUACCAACCCGAUGCAAACUGCGAAUACCGGAGAAUGUUAUCACGGGAGACACACGGCGGGUGCUAACGUCCGUCGUGAAGAGGGAAACAACCCAGACCGCCAGCUAAGGUCCCAAAGUCAUGGUUAAGUGGGAAACGAUGUGGGAAGGCCCAGACAGCCAGGAUGUUGGCUUAGAAGCAGCCAUCAUUUAAAGAAAGCGUAAUAGCUCACUGGUCGAGUCGGCCUGCGCGGAAGAUGUAACGGGGCUAAACCAUGCACCGAAGCUGCGGCAGCGACACUAUGUGUUGUUGGGUAGGGGAGCGUUCUGUAAGCCUGUGAAGGUGGCCUGUGAGGGUUGCUGGAGGUAUCAGAAGUGCGAAUGCUGACAUAAGUAACGAUAAAGCGGGUGAAAAGCCCGCUCGCCGGAAGACCAAGGGUUCCUGUCCAACGUUAAUCGGGGCAGGGUGAGUCGACCCCUAAGGCGAGGCCGAAAGGCGUAGUCGAUGGGAAACAGGUUAAUAUUCCUGUACUUGGUGUUACUGCGAAGGGGGGACGGAGAAGGCUAUGUUGGCCGGGCGACGGUUGUCCCGGUUUAAGCGUGUAGGCUGGUUUUCCAGGCAAAUCCGGAAAAUCAAGGCUGAGGCGUGAUGACGAGGCACUACGGUGCUGAAGCGACAAAUGCCCUGCUUCCAGGAAAAGCCUCUAAGCAUCAGGUAACAUCAAAUCGUACCCCAAACCGACACAGGUGGUCAGGUAGAGAAUACCAAGGCGCUUGAGAGAACUCGGGUGAAGGAACUAGGCAAAAUGGUGCCGUAACUUCGGGAGAAGGCACGCUGAUAUGUAGGUGAAGCGACUUGCUCGUGGAGCUGAAAUCAGUCGAAGAUACCAGCUGGCUGCAACUGUUUAUUAAAAACACAGCACUGUGCAAACACGAAAGUGGACGUAUACGGUGUGACGCCUGCCCGGUGCCGGAAGGUUAAUUGAUGGGGUUAGCGGUAACGCGAAGCUCUUGAUCGAAGCCCCGGUAAACGGCGGCCGUAACUAUAACGGUCCUAAGGUAGCGAAAUUCCUUGUCGGGUAAGUUCCGACCUGCACGAAUGGCGUAAUGAUGGCCAGGCUGUCUCCACCCGAGACUCAGUGAAAUUGAACUCGCUGUGAAGAUGCAGUGUACCCGCGGCAAGACGGAAAGACCCCGUGAACCUUUACUAUAGCUUGACACUGAACAUUGAGCCUUGAUGUGUAGGAUAGGUGGGAGGCUUUGAAGUGUGGACGCCAGUCUGCAUGGAGCCGACCUUGAAAUACCACCCUUUAAUGUUUGAUGUUCUAACGUGGGCCCCUAAUCGGGGUUGCGGACAGUGUCUGGUGGGUAGUUUGACUGGGGCGGUCUCCUCCUAAAGAGUAACGGAGGAGCACGAAGGUUGGCUAAUCCUGGUCGGACAUCAGGAGGUUAGUGCAAUGGCAUAAGCCAGCUUGACUGCGAGCGUGACGGCGCGAGCAGGUGCGAAAGCAGGUCAUAGUGAUCCGGUGGUUCUGAAUGGAAGGGCCAUCGCUCAACGGAUAAAAGGUACUCCGGGGAUAACAGGCUGAUACCGCCCAAGAGUUCAUAUCGACGGCGGUGUUUGGCACCUCGAUGUCGGCUCAUCACAUCCUGGGGCUGAAGUAGGUCCCAAGGGUAUGGCUGUUCGCCAUUUAAAGUGGUACGCGAGCUGGGUUUAGAACGUCGUGAGACAGUUCGGUCCCUAUCUGCCGUGGGCGCUGGAGAACUGAGGGGGGCUGCUCCUAGUACGAGAGGACCGGAGUGGACGCAUCACUGGUGUUCGGGUUGUCAUGCCAAU
This 2707-nucleotide ribosomal RNA is filed under the name Escherichia coli. RNAcentral describes it as "partial 23S ribosomal RNA". It matches the Rfam family "Bacterial large subunit ribosomal RNA". Lineage: Bacteria; Pseudomonadati; Pseudomonadota; Gammaproteobacteria; Enterobacterales; Enterobacteriaceae. The record is from RNAcentral.